Long non-coding RNA from Aedes aegypti (yellow fever mosquito), 1078 nucleotides. RefSeq lists it as uncharacterized. NCBI's taxonomy places the organism in Eukaryota, Metazoa, Arthropoda, Insecta, Diptera, Culicidae. The transcript has 3 exons. The record is from RefSeq and is a predicted model, not a curated record.
UUUAUGUAAUGUAUAACAAACUGUGACAUGAUAUUACAGUGUACAAAUAUUGUAGAACUGUAUAGCAAUAAGAAUUCGAGAGUUAUGGUGAAAAUAUAAAACAGCCGUUUGUCAAAUUGUUUUGCGCAACAAACUCACACUUUAGCAUUUCACUAUAUUUCACUUAAUUGAAACAGUUUGGUGAACUGUUGGUUAUAUUAUGCACGCUUGAAAAAAUAUAUGUGGAUGUAGAUGGAACAUCAAGAAAUUUAACUUCUUUUAUUGAAAAGAUGCGUACGUGUGUACAUCUCGGCAAAAAAUGUUUUUCUACUUCACGGUCAAAAGCAAAAAAAAAUGAAAACAAAAAAAAAAGAUUAAAUUUUGUUCCAAACUUUUUAAAUAUGUGCCGUCACUGAGUUGACUUUUUUUAGCGUGCAUUUUUCUGCAUUGUUGUAAACAAAUGAAGUAAAUUUUUGUCUCCGAUACUUUUGCUCCGCUUUGUCGUCUCCGUCGUCGCAGAAAAAUCGGAGGAAAUAGGAAAUCUUUACAACGGAACGCAGAGAACCCCUCAACCUGGCAAGUGUGCGGCCGCAAGAAAAACAGACUCCCAAGGCGCGUUUGACCUAGAGCCAUGGAAUUAUCGUUGUUCUGCUGCUAAUCACAAUUACCGGACCAACAAAACAGACAUCCAGCAACCAACCCACACGCAAAAAUCAAGCACCACCCAAAAAGCAUUCAAGAGAUGAACCACUAGGAGUGAGCACAAUAAUGAUUACUGUCCGAAGCUCUGAAGUUCCCUGACUUGCUGAACAGUACCGGGCAGUUGCUGACUUCCAUGGAAUCGAUGUAAACGAUGAGAUCAAAAAUCCUGAUGGCUACGUGACACAGAAAAAAUAUUAUGGGGUAUUGCAUUUGUGGCGAGACACUUAAAUUAAUUCUGAAUCGCGAUUAUUUAUUUAUUUUCAAUAUUGAAAUUAUAUUCUAUCAAUAGUUUAAGUCAUCAUACUUUAUAAAUAGAUAUCUAGAAUGCUUCCCAGCAUGUUUCGGGCCGUACUAAACUUUACAUAUUCUAUCUGAAGUAAAGUUUUGAUACACCUAA